This 300-nucleotide ribosomal RNA is filed under the name uncultured Bacillus sp. RNAcentral describes it as "bacterial SSU rRNA". It matches the Rfam family "Bacterial small subunit ribosomal RNA", at positions 496 to 795 of the family's 1533-position model. The record is from RNAcentral. Lineage: Bacteria; Bacillati; Bacillota; Bacilli; Caryophanales; Bacillaceae.
GGUAUCGUUGCGCGAGCGGCGGCGGUAAGAUAGAGGUCGCGAGCGUUGGUGUGAGAGAGUGGGCGUAAAUGGUGCGUAGGUGGUGGGGUAAGUCGGAUGUGAAAGCGCCGAGCGUAACUCGGAAAGGGCAUUUGAAACUACCCUGCGGGAGGGUCGGAGGGGGGACUGGAAUUCUCGGUGUAGCAGUGAAAUGCGUAGAUAUCGAGAGGAACACCAGUGGCGAAGGCGAGUCCCUGGACGACUCCUGACACUGAGGCACGAAAGCUAGGGGAGCAAACAGGAUUAGAUACCCCGGUAGUC